RNAcentral lists this ribosomal RNA (254 nucleotides) under uncultured bacterium. Its description in RNAcentral is "partial 16S ribosomal RNA". It matches the Rfam family "Bacterial small subunit ribosomal RNA", at positions 524 to 776 of the family's 1533-position model. The record is from RNAcentral.
UACGUAGGGAGCAAGCGUUGUCCGGAAUCAUUGGGCGUAAAGCGCGCGUAGGUGGCUUCGUAAGUCCGUUGUGAAAGUCAAAAGGCUCAACCUUUGAAAGCCGAUGGAUACUGCGGAGCUAGAGUACGGAAGAGGCGAGUGGAAUUCCUGGUGUAGCGGUGGAAUGCGCAGAUAUCAGGAGGAACACCAAUAGCGAAGGCAGCUCGCUGGGACGUUACUGACACUGAGGCGCGAAAGCGUGGGGAGCGAACAGG